Molecule: ribosomal RNA, 496 nt
Filed under: uncultured bacterium
Lineage: Bacteria
Description: partial 16S ribosomal RNA
Rfam family: Bacterial small subunit ribosomal RNA
Source: RNAcentral
GAUGAACGCUGGCGGCGUGCCUAAUACAUGCAAGUCGAGCGAACAGACGAGGAGCUUGCUCCUCUGACGUUAGCGGCGGACGGGUGAGUAACACGUGGAUAACCUACCUAUAAGACUGGGAUAACUUCGGGAAACCGGAGCUAAUACCGGAUAAUAUAUUGAACCGCAUGGUUCAAUAGUGAAAGACGGUUUUGCUGUCACUUAUAGAUGGAUCCGCGCCGCAUUAGCUAGUUGGUAAGGUAACGGCUUACCAAGGCAACGAUGCGUAGCCGACCUGAGAGGGUGAUCGGCCACACUGGAACUGAGACACGGUCCAGACUCCGACGGGAGGCAGCAGUAGGGAAUCUUCCGCAAUGGGCGAAAGCCUGACGGAGCAACGCCGCGUGAGUGAUGAAGGUCUGCGGAUCGUAAAACGCUGUUAUUAGGGAAGAACAAAUGUGUAAGUAACGAUGCACGUCUGGACGGUACCUAAGCAGAAAGCCACGGCUAACUACGG